Molecule: ribosomal RNA, 253 nt
Filed under: uncultured bacterium
Lineage: Bacteria
Description: partial 16S ribosomal RNA
Rfam family: Bacterial small subunit ribosomal RNA
Source: RNAcentral
UACGAAGGGGGCUAGCGUUGCUCGGAAUCACUGGGCGUAAAGGGUGCGUAGGCGGGCCUUUAAGUCAGGGGUGAAAUCCUGGAGCUCAACUCCAGAACUGCCUUUGAUACUGAGGAUCUUGAGUUCGGGAGAGGUGAGUGGAACUGCGAGUGUAGAGGUGAAAUUCGUAGAUAUUCGCAAGAACACCAGUGGCGAAGGCGGCUCACUGGCCCGAUACUGACGCUGAGGCACGAAAGCGUGGGGGGCAAACAGG